CCUUACACAUGCAAGUCGAACGGCAGCACGGACUUCGGUCUGGUGGCGAGUGGCGAACGGGUGAGUAAUACAUCGGAACGUGCCUAGUAGUGGGGGAUAACUACUCGAAAGAGUGGCUAAUACCGCAUGAGAUCUACGGAUGAAAGCAGGGGAUCGCAAGACCUUGUGCUACUAGAGCGGCUGAUGGCAGAUUAGGUAGUUGGUGGGAUAAAAGCUUACCAAGCCGACGAUCUGUAGCUGGUCUGAGAGGACGAUCAGCCACACUGGGACUGAGACACGGCCCAGACUCCUACGGGAGGCAGCAGUGGGGAAUUUUGGACAAUGGGCGCAAGCCUGAUCCAGCAAUGCCGCGUGCAGGAUGAAGGCCUUCGGGUUGUAAACUGCUUUUGUACGGAACGAAAAGCUUUGGGCUAAUACCCUGGAGUCAUGACGGUACCGUAAGAAUAAGCACCGGCUAACUACGUGCCA
This 468-nucleotide ribosomal RNA is filed under the name uncultured bacterium. RNAcentral's name for it is "bacterial SSU rRNA". It matches the Rfam family "Bacterial small subunit ribosomal RNA", at positions 47 to 510 of the family's 1533-position model. The record is from RNAcentral.